UACGGGGGGGGCAAGCGUUGUUCGGAAUUACUGGGCGUAAAGGGCUCGUAGGCGGCCAACUAAGUCAGACGUGAAAUCCCUCGGCUUAACCGGGGAACUGCGUCUGAUACUGGAUGGCUUGAGUUUGGGAGAGGGACGCGGAAUUCCAGGUGUAGCGGUGAAAUGCGUAGAUAUCUGGAGGAACACCGGUGGCGAAGGCGGCGUCCUGGACCAACACUGACACUGAGGCGCGAAAGCUAGGGGAGCAAACGGG
This 253-nucleotide ribosomal RNA is filed under the name uncultured bacterium. Its description in RNAcentral is "partial 16S ribosomal RNA". It matches the Rfam family "Bacterial small subunit ribosomal RNA", at positions 524 to 776 of the family's 1533-position model. The record is from RNAcentral.